CCUACGGGAGGCAGCAGUGAGGAAUAUUGGUCAAUGGACGAGAGCCUGAACCAGCCAAGUAGCGUGAAGGAUGACUGCCCUAUGGGUUGUAAACUUCUUUUAUAUGGGAAUAAAGUGUUCCACGUGUGGGAUUUUGUAUGUACCAUAUGAAUAAGGAUCGGCUAACUCCGUGCCAGCAGCCGCGGUAAUACGGAGGAUCCGAGCGUUAUCCGGAUUUAUUGGGUUUAAAGGGAGCGUAGGUGGGUUGUUAAGUCAGUUGUGAAAGUUUGCGGCUCAACCGUAAAAUUGCAGUUGAUACUGGCAGUCUUGAGUACAGUAGAGGUGGGCGGAAUUCGUGGUGUAGCGGUGAAAUGCUUAGAUAUCACGAAGAACUCCGAUUGCGAAGGCAGCUCACUGGACUGCAACUGACACUGAGGCUCGAAAGUGUGGGUAUCAAACAGGAUUAGAUACCCCAGUAGUC
RNAcentral lists this ribosomal RNA (460 nucleotides) under uncultured bacterium. Its description in RNAcentral is "partial 16S ribosomal RNA". It matches the Rfam family "Bacterial small subunit ribosomal RNA", at positions 338 to 795 of the family's 1533-position model. The record is from RNAcentral.